This 382-nucleotide ribosomal RNA is filed under the name uncultured eukaryote. RNAcentral describes it as "partial 18S ribosomal RNA". It matches the Rfam family "Eukaryotic small subunit ribosomal RNA", at positions 592 to 976 of the family's 1831-position model. The record is from RNAcentral.
UGUAAGCGUAUACCCAAGUUGUUGCCGUUAAAACGCUCGUAGUCGGAAUUUGGCAGUUCCGGAUGUGUGCACGUCGUGUGCGCACUUCGCGGGGAUUGCUUUUGUGGUCUUGCGUAGGAUGAGGCACUUUUAUUAGUGAACGUCCUCACGCAACCACUUUUUACUGUGAGAAAAUCAGAGUGCUCAAAGCAGGCAUUUGCCGUGAAUGUAUUAGCAUGGAAUAAUAGAAUAGGACUUGGUUCUAUUUUGUUGGUUUGUUGGGACUGAGUAAUGAUUAAGAGGGACAGUUGGGGGCAUUUGUAUUUCGGUGCUAGAGGUGAAAUUCUUAGAUUACCGAAAGACAAACUGCUGCGAAAGCGUCUGCCAAGGAUGUUUUCAUUGA